AUUGAACGCUGGCGGAAUGCUUUACACAUGCAAGUCGAACGGCAACACGGACUUCGGUCUGGUGGCGAGUGGCGAACGGGUGAGUAAUGUAUCGGAACGUGCCCAGUCGUGGGGGAUAACGUAGUGAAAAUUACGCUAAUACCGCAUACGAUCUAUGGAUGAAAGCGGGGGAUCGCAAGACCUCGCGCGAUUGGAGCGGCCGAUAUCAGAUUAGGUAGUUGGUGGGGUAAAGGCCCACCAAGCCAACGAUCUGUAGCUGGUCUGAGAGGACGACCAGCCACACUGGAACUGAGACACGGUCCAGACUCCUACGGGAGGCAGCAGUGGGGAAUUUUGGACAAUGGGCGAAAGCCUGAUCCAGCCAUUCCGCGUGCAGGAUGAAGGCCCUCGGGUUGUAAACUGCUUUUGUACAGGACGAAAAGGUUUCUACUAAUACUAGGAGCUCAUGACGGUACUGUAAGAAUAGCACCGGCUAACUACGUGCCAGCCGCCGCAGUAA
RNAcentral lists this ribosomal RNA (499 nucleotides) under uncultured bacterium. Its description in RNAcentral is "partial 16S ribosomal RNA". It matches the Rfam family "Bacterial small subunit ribosomal RNA", at positions 30 to 523 of the family's 1533-position model. The record is from RNAcentral.